Molecule: long non-coding RNA, 4682 nt
Organism: Prionailurus viverrinus (fishing cat)
Lineage: Eukaryota; Metazoa; Chordata; Mammalia; Carnivora; Felidae
Exons: 3
Source: RefSeq, a predicted model, not a curated record
AAGGAGAGGUGGCACAGAGGGGAGGAGGGGGUCGUGGAGGUCCUGGGUCAAAUAUCCUCUCUGCCUUCCAGAUUCACCCACAGCCCUCUGGAGAGACAUGAGAUUGAUAUGUCUUAACAUUUAAGAGGAAAGAAUUGCAUGAGGUACUGAGGUCCAAGGAGGAAAAGUAAUCUGACUGAAAUCACUCAGGACUAAACAGCCAGAUGCAGUCCCAGACUCCAAGUGUGACCUGAUCUGCCAGCCAGAAAGCUGGCCCCAAGUCCAUAGAAAAGGUGGCAUAGAUGGUUUUUUUUAGAGAGAGAGAGAAUCUUAAGUCUUUUUUUUUCUUUUUUUAGACACACACACACACACACACACACACACACACACACAAGCUGGGGAGAGGGGCAGAAGGGAAGAGAGAAUCUUAAGCAGGCUUCACACUCAGUGCGGGGUCAUGCCCUGAGCCAAAAUCAAGAGUCAGACACUCAACCAACUGAGCCAACCAGAUGCUCUGGUGGCAUAGAUUUUACUUAAAGAGUGGGCAAUCAAAAAAUUAUCUCUGACUGAAGAAGGUGACCUCAGUGACCUCUGAGAGAUAACCAUUUGUUUAAUGGUUUUGAUUCUGGUAACACCAGACUGCCCUCCCCUCUACCUGGUAAACCCUAUCCAUCCUUUAUGUUCAGGCUAGAUACCUUCCCAAAGAAGUUUCCUACCCAAGUGCACCAAAUCCCUACUCCAUCUGGGCCCCUGAGGUAGGGGGCCCCUUUGGGACAGGGCUUUCCUGCAUCCAUCACUGUACUGCCAGCACUAAGAAAGCGACACACAGCAGGUGCCAAGGAAAAAUGUGCUUUACUUAAUUUCCAGAAUUGGAAGCAUCCACAGAAACUAGUCCAUGGGUGGCAAACGUGGGCCUACAGGUAACAAAUGUGUGAGGCAGGCUGGCAGGGCAUUUACUGUCUGUAUAAGAGACAGUUGAUGCUGCUCAGCCCCUGGCCGCUUAUGCACAAUGUGCUUCCAGUGCUGCCAGACCUCAGACGGAGCUGAGGAGCUGAUUUUCUAGGUGAAAUCGCCUGUGGUUUAAAUUUUGUCAACAAAUUCAAAUAAAGGGGGAUAAAAUCUUGUGGCCUCUGACCUCUUAUCUAAUCCAACUGCCUCAUAUUAUAGAUGGAAAAACUGAAGCCUAAGGAGAGGAAUGGACUUGCCAUGGACAUUUCAGGAGCCCAGAGGCAACUCGGGCCAAGGUAAGUCUGUCAGUUCUGAAUCUAUGUCAGUUUUGAAUCCAAAGAAUAACUGGACAGGGCCACUCCCAGGAGCCCCUCAGCCCCAUUUAGCAGGGGCUUGGGUGCUUGCAACAGGAGGAGGGUCAUGGACUUGCUCACUUCCACCAAGCCACAGAGAGCCUACAUGGUCCUGUUUCCUAUUCUGGAGCCUCAAACACAAAGUCUUAGGUUUUUUCUUUUUCUUUCUUUUUCCAUUUAAUACUUACACAGCACUUGCUGUGUGCCGGGCACUUUUUUUGUACUCUGCUAAUUAUAAUUUAUAUAAUCUUAUUGAAUAGGAAGCUAUUUUAAUGUUGGUAUUUUUCCUGAGAAAAGGGUAUCCCUCCCUGAGUUCCAGUGCUAGUGCAUUCCUGUUUUGCCAUGUUCUGUCACUCUGCAUCUCUGAGCCUCAGUUUCCUCAUUUGCAAAAUGGAACUAAGAAUCCAGGGUCUGUGAGCACAGUCCCAUGAGGGCAGAAUGUAUAAUCCAUGGGUGGGAAUUACAGGGGGGUGGACUGUGAAUUGGGGUAAGUAAGAACUUCUCAGCUAAGCUGUUCACACAAGAAAUGAGCUGCCUCAGGCAAAGUGAGCUUCCUAUCAUUUGAGGCAACCAAGCAGGAGCAGAUGGUGUAGAGAUGGUGUAGAGGACCCUGGAAGCCACCUGCUUUGGGAGUUUUCAAAUUGUCCUCUAGCAGCUGACCUUCUUGCCCACAUUCCCAAGCAAUCACAGAAGGAGGCUGCUGAGGAAGGGAGGCAGCUUAAUAUUCACUGAAUGAAUGAGUUGGUGGGGACACCCAGGCCCAAACCAAAGGCUUCCAGGGACAGUUUGAAAAUCCCUGGUCUGUCCAGUUGUCUGCUUUUAUGAACAAGGAAACCCAUGAGCAGAAGUCUGGCACUGCAUUUUAAAAAGAAAGCCCCUUGUGAGGACAGAAACAAACAUACAUUAAUAGCACUUGACUAUGCCUGCAAAGAAUAUCUCUGGGCAGAUUCUCAACACUGCCUUCCAGGAAGAUAACUGAAGGUAGGGCGGCGGACAGAAGGGACAGUUUUUCACCAUAUACUCUGUUGUUCUUUUUUAAUGUUUUAGUAUGUGCAGGUAAUAACUUAUUAAACACACACACACACACACACACACACACAUACACACACACACAGAAACAUCAAACAGAUUAGUUUUAUUAUUCAGAAGAAAAGCCUUUAGGCUGAGCGCUCUGGACACAGGCCGAUGGGGAACUGGAACAGCAUUAGGACCCAAAUAGAACAACAGCCAAGCCAUAGCCUGGCCCAGGGGCAUCCCCUUGGGCUAUGUCUCUGACUUAUGGCAAUCACAUCUUGACCUCCUGGGGCCCAGACACACUGUCCAGUGGAAGGGGUGCCAGAGGUAUCCAGCACAACAACACUCUGCCAUUUGGGGGAGCCCAGAGGUGUCACAGGAAGCAGGUGCCAGAGUACUGCCUGCCACAUUUGGAGGUGCCUUUGUAUCCCUGCAUCUUUCAGCUCACAGGUGCCCCUUCCUGGGGACUUCCCAUCACCCAUAUUGGAGACUCAUUCUAUGAUCCAAGAAUACCACCCACAAUUCUAAGUGGGGCUUCAUGUGCAUUUUCCUUACACUGAGAGAAGGCGGAGCUUUCCUAAGUUGUCUAAAGGAGCCAGUGAUCUAAGAACUGAACACCCAUUGAUGCAUGGGUGAAACCCAAACUCCCUUCUGAGCAUAGGCAGGCCUGAGCUAGCCUCACACCCUCCCUGCCCUCCUGUUCUUCUGUCUCUGUCACUUCUCCUGUUCCAAGGCCCACAUGGUCCUUCCUUCUUUGUGGCCUUUGUCUAGGCUUGGCCUACUCAUACCCAUCCUGCAAGACCCAUUCAGAGUUACCUCCUCCUGGGAGCCCUGAUCCUACCCUCUUUACAAGCCAGGGGGUUUUUGUCCCCAGGUGGUAAUUCACCACAUACAAUUCAGGUCUUUGCAUCAACUGCUGCCCCACAUGUAGUCUGUUUCCCAAGGAGAGCGAGCACUCACCAGGGGUUAAUAAUGUGAGAGGCAGGAGACAAGGGGCGCAGAAGUCGCCUAGGAUAUGAAAACCUUUGUCUCUCACUCUGGGCUUUCUGUCUUCCUCCAGGGACACCAAGAGCUCCCAUCUCUGCCUUUGGCCAGGCUGCUUCUCACUGGAUUCCUGACUAGGCCCUGCCCUAGCCCACCAAAGGUCCCUGUACUUGGGAAGGAGCACAGAUUUUUCUGAAACUGAAUCCUUUUAACAAAAGAAAGAGAGAUGGGGAGAAAGGAAAGGAAGAAGGAAAGAAGGAGAGAGAAAUAAAUUAAUGGAGCCCCUACCUGGACACCUUUGUGCACCUUGCUGUCCCCAGCCCAGGGCCCUUGAGGAAUAGCCUCCCCAUGAGUAACACAGGGUCAUCACGUCUUCCCUGGCCACAGUGCUAGGCUGUGAAGAUCAAAGGAGAAACUGUGCUAACAUCCUUGGGCAACUGUGAAGCUCUCUGCCUGAGGUAGGAGAUAAGUACUAUCAUCAUCAUCUCUAAUGGCUCCCAGAUCCAAGAGAUCCAGGCUGACCCCUCCAAGGCUUUAUCAAGCAAUGCUCAAACAGCCAAGUCUCGGUGGAACUAGGUCCUGCUCUGAAGAUCAUAGGUAUUGUGAUACAGAUGGGGCAGGGCAGGUCCAGGAUCCAUUCUGAAUCUCCAGCAGCUCAAGAAUGGGCUGAAUCCCCACUUGCUCCAUCCCACCAACCUUCCCACCCAGGGGCCUCACCACACCCAUCUGCUCACUGGACCCUCACAACACCUUUGUGAGCUCAGAAGGACAGAAAGGCCUAUCCCCUUUUAUAGAUGAGGAAAUGGGCCCAGGGAGAGACAGCUGACUUUUUAUGGUCACACAGCUCGUCCCAUCCUCCUACAUCAGGAAUCAUUCUCUUGACUCUUAGCAAAGAGAGAGAUAAGAAAAAGAAGCCAAGACCCUUGCAACUGAGCCCUGAUCUCUCCUUAGGAUGCCGUUGCCCUUUGAGUCAGGGAAGGAAGUGAAAGUGAGGUCUCUGCUUCCCCACUGAAUGUUCCUACCAGGGCUGGCCCAGGCCCAGCCCAUGCUCAGCUUGGCUCCUUAAGUAGACACCAAUUCUCUGCCUUCUAGUCCACCUGGGACCCCGUGUUCUGAGCGUUCCUCAGGGAGCCUGGACUCUGAACUCUGCUCUGCACUAUCAGACUAGUCCUAUAUUAAGACUGGCUAGAGUCUCCUCUUUGGCAAGAGUCCUAGGCUCUCCUGAGACUAGAGCGUCCUAUAGGGCCACGUGGGGCCCUUCACUUGAGCAGCAUGAUGAGGGUGCCUUCUUCCCCCUUAGAGCCCAGGUGACAGGAGUGGCCACCUACUCCUGGGAGUAGGUCUGGGAGACCAGGGCUGCCCUGUUCCCCCAAAGACUGGAGUCACAGUGGGUGACAGGUCACA